This 105-nucleotide Y RNA is filed under the name Cebus imitator (Panamanian white-faced capuchin). RNAcentral describes it as "Y RNA (ENSCCAG00000000910.1)". It matches the Rfam family "Y RNA". Rfam says of the family: Y RNAs are components of the Ro ribonucleoprotein particle (Ro RNP), in association with Ro60 and La proteins. The Y RNAs and Ro60 and La proteins are well conserved, but the function of the Ro RNP is not known. Lineage: Eukaryota; Metazoa; Chordata; Mammalia; Primates; Cebidae. The record is from Rfam by way of RNAcentral.
GGCCGGCCCAAGAGCGGUGGUGCCUACAGUUAACUGAUCACAACCAGUUACAGAUUUUUUUAAAAUUCCUUCUCCUCUCCCAUUGCUUCACUGGACUAGCCUAAA